Molecule: ribosomal RNA, 253 nt
Filed under: uncultured bacterium
Lineage: Bacteria
Description: partial 16S ribosomal RNA
Rfam family: Bacterial small subunit ribosomal RNA
Source: RNAcentral
UACGUAGGGUGCGAGCGUUGCCCGGAUUUAUUGGGCGUAAAGGGCGCGUAGGCGGCCUGGCGCGUCGGCUGUGAAAUCUCCCGGCUCAACUGGGAGGGGACGGCCGAUACGGCUGGGCUUGAGCGAGGUAGGGGAGAGUGGAAUUUACGGUGUAGCGGUGAAAUGCGUAGAUAUCGUAAGGAGGACCAGUGGCGAAGGCGGGUCUCUGGACAGUUCCUGACGCUGAGGCACGAAAGCGUGGGGAGCGAACAGG